Long non-coding RNA from Melanotaenia boesemani (Boeseman's rainbowfish), 377 nucleotides. RefSeq lists it as uncharacterized. The transcript has 4 exons. Lineage: Eukaryota; Metazoa; Chordata; Actinopteri; Atheriniformes; Melanotaeniidae. The record is from RefSeq and is a predicted model, not a curated record.
UUUGACUCCAGGUUAAUAUUGUACAAAUUUUGAAAUGAGGACAUUUCCUUUGAAGAGGAGGAGAAACUUUGGGAAAAACGUUUCUCUGUUCAGCAUCGAUUUCAGGAUUAUUUCAAGUUAUAACAAAUCAUGUCACGAAGAAGCUCUAGACUGGCAUCCCUUGGAUACUAUGAUAGUAAUGGUAUACCAACCAUAAAUUACAAAGAGACACCUUGGAGAUCACGUAAAAGGCGAAGAGUUCGUCCUCAAGUCCCGGAGGAGAUGAUAUCUCCUGUAGAAGACGAGUUCCCCGUCUGCAACACUUUUGAUGCAGAAGAAGAGUGCAGUAAAAUAAAACUGCUACUUUCUAUGUUAUAUGUAUUUUUAAUAAUCUUCAG